CGAAUGCUGACAUAAGUAACGAUAAUGCGGGUGAAAAACCCGCACGCCGGAAGACCAAGGGUUCCUGUCCAACGUUAAUCGGGGCAGGGUGAGUCGACCCCUAAGGCGAGGCCGAAAGGCGUAGUCGAUGGGAAACAGGUUAAUAUUCCUGUACUUGGUGUUACUGCGAAGGGGGGACGGAGAAGGCUAUGUUAGCCGGGCGACGGUUGUCCCGGUUUAAGCAUGUAGGCGGAGGUUCCAGGUAAAUCCGGUACCUUUUUAACGCUGAGGUGUGAUGACGAGGCACUACGGUGCUGAAGUAACAAAUGCCCUGCUUCCAGGAAAAGCCUCUAAGCAUCAGGUAACACGAAAUCGUACCCCAAACCGACACAGGUGGUCAGGUAGAGAAUACCAAGGCGCUUGAGAGAACUCGGGUGAAGGAACUAGGCAAAAUGGUGCCGUAACUUCGGGAGAAGGCACGCUGAUAUGUAGGUGAAGUGAUUUACUCAUGGAGCUGAAAUCAGUCGAAGAUACCAGCUGGCUGCAACUGUUUAUUAAAAACACAGCACUGUGCAAACACGAAAGUGGACGUAUACGGUGUGACGCCUGCCCGGUGCCGGAAGGUUAAUUGAUGGGGUUAUCCGUAAGGAGAAGCUCUUGAUCGAAGCCCCGGUAAACGGCGGCCGUAACUAUAACGGUCCUAAGGUAGCGAAAUUCCUUGUCGGGUAAGUUCCGACCUGCACGAAUGGCGUAAUGAUGGCCAGGCUGUCUCCACCCGAGACUCAGUGAAAUUGAACUCGCUGUGAAGAUGCAGUGUACCCGCGGCAAGACGGAAAGACCCCGUGAACCUUUACUAUAGCUUGACACUGAACACUGGUCCUUGAUGUGUAGGAUAGGUGGGAGGCUUUGAAGUGUGGACGCCAGUCUGCAUGGAGCCAUCCUUGAAAUACCACCCUUUAAUGGCUGGUGUUCUAACGUGGACCCGUUACCCGGGUUGCGGACAGUGUCUGGUGGGUAGUUUGACUGGGGCGGUCUCCUCCUAAAGAGUAACGGAGGAGCACGAAGGUUAGCUAAUCCUGGUCGGACAUCAGGAGGUUAGUGCAAAGGCAUAAGCUAGCUUGACUGCGAGAGUGACGGCUCGAGCAGGUGCGAAAGCAGGUCUUAGUGAUCCGGUGGUUCUGAAUGGAAGGGCCAUCGCUCAACGGAUAAAAGGUACUCCGGGGAUAACAGGCUGAUACCGCCCAAGAGUUCAUAUCGACGGCGGUGUUUGGCACCUCGAUGUCGGCUCAUCACAUCCUGGGGCUGAAGUAGGUCCCAAGGGUAUGGCUGUUCGCCAUUUAAAGUGGUACGCGAGCUGGGUUUAGAACGUCGUGAGACAGUUCGGUCCCUAUCUGCCGUGGGCGCUGGAGAAUUGAGGGGGGCUGCUCCUAGUACGAGAGGACCGGAGUGGACGCAUCACUGGUGUUCGGGUUGUCAUGCCAAUGGCAUUGCCCGGUAGCUAAAUGCGGAAGAGAUAAGUGCUGAAAGCAUCUAAGCACGAAACUUGC
This 1526-nucleotide ribosomal RNA is filed under the name Citrobacter freundii. RNAcentral's name for it is "partial 23S ribosomal RNA". It matches the Rfam family "Bacterial large subunit ribosomal RNA", at positions 1291 to 2797 of the family's 2925-position model. The record is from RNAcentral. Lineage: Bacteria; Pseudomonadati; Pseudomonadota; Gammaproteobacteria; Enterobacterales; Enterobacteriaceae.